This is a small nuclear RNA of Pan troglodytes (chimpanzee), 115 nucleotides long. The record is from Ensembl. NCBI's taxonomy places the organism in Eukaryota, Metazoa, Chordata, Mammalia, Primates, Hominidae.
AGUGUUUGCUUCUACAGCACAUACACUGAAAAAAAAAAUUGGAAUGAUACAGAGAAGAUGAACGUGGUCCCGGCAUAAGGAUAACACGCAGAUUUACUAAGCAUUCCAUAUGAAA